RNAcentral lists this ribosomal RNA (214 nucleotides) under uncultured eukaryote. RNAcentral describes it as "partial 18S ribosomal RNA". It matches the Rfam family "Eukaryotic small subunit ribosomal RNA", at positions 1208 to 1456 of the family's 1831-position model. The record is from RNAcentral.
GGAAAUCUCACGGGACACAUAAAGAGGAUUGACAGUUUGAUAGUUCUUUCUUGAUUCUAUGGUUGGUGGUGCAUGGCCGUUCUUAGUUGGUGGAGUGAUCUGUCUGGUUAAUUCCGUUAACGAACGAGAUCUUAACCUGCUAAAUAGAGAAUUGUACAAUUUUCUUCUUAGAGGGACUCUUGAUCGUUUAGAUCAAGGAAGUUUGAGGUAAUAA